CACGCUGUAAACGAUGAAAACUAAGUAUUGCCGCGAGGCAGUGCUGUAGCUAACGCAUUAAGUUUUCCGCCUGGGGAGUACGCUCGCAAGAGUGAAACUUAAAGGAAUUGACGGGGGCCCGCACAAGCGGUGGAGCAUGUGGUUUAAUUCGAAGCAACGCGAAGAACCUUACCAGGCCUUGACAUCCAAUGAACUUUCUAGAGAUAGAUUGGUGCCUUCGGGAACAUUGAGACAGGUGC
This 239-nucleotide ribosomal RNA is filed under the name uncultured bacterium. RNAcentral's name for it is "partial 16S ribosomal RNA". It matches the Rfam family "Bacterial small subunit ribosomal RNA", at positions 796 to 1041 of the family's 1533-position model. The record is from RNAcentral.